CCGCAUGCGCGACCGAGCCCCGGGGGGCGGUGCUGCUUCAUCCGGGUACCCGGCGGCGGUUGGCUGUUUUGUUUUCUUGGCUGCAAACUGGGGGAAAGUGAGGCGGCCGCGCGCGGCGUGACACCUGGCUCGGGACUUACUGCACUGGCGGGGCUGGCCUGACUUGAAAAAAUGUCUGGAUUUCUAGAAGGCUUGAGAUGCUCAGAAUGCAUUGACUGGGGGGAAAAGCGCAAUACUAUUGCUUCCAUUGCUGCUGGUGUUCUAUUUUUUACAGGCUGGUGGAUUAUCAUAGAUGCAGCUGUCAUUUACCCCACCAUGGAAGAAUUCAACCACUCGUACCACGCCUGUGGUGUCAUAGCAACCAUAGCCUUCCUCAUGAUUAAUGCAGUAUCAAAUGGACAAGUCCGAGGUGAUAGUUACAGUGAAGGUUGCCUGGGUCAAACAGGUGCUCGCAUCUGGCUGUUCAUUGGUUUCAUGCUGGCCUUUGGAUCUCUGAUUGCAUCUAUGUGGAUUCUCUUUGGAGGUUAUGUUGCUAAAGAAAAAGCCAUCGUAUAUCCUGGAAUUGCUGUAUUUUUCCAAAAUGCCUUCAUCUUUUUUGGGGGACUGGUUUUUAAGUUUGGCCGCACUGAAGACUUAUGGCAGUGAAAACCUCCGAUUUACUUCUGCGCAGCAGCCCUGCAUGGGUUUUUUACUUCUCACUCCCAGUUUUUUGUAAUGCCAUUUUCUAAGCUCAUUUUUGAGUGUGGUCUCAGCUUCAAUUUGUGUAAUACUAAAACCAUGAGAACUUCCUGUGUAAGCAACACAAAUCGAUUGUGAUGGAGGAACCAGAUGGUGGAAACUUAAAUUUCUCAAGGCCGUACAUAGAACUAGUUUUGAAAUCUUGAGUCGGUGUACCUCCACAAUGGACCACAACAUCUUCCCCUGUGCUUGGGGAAUAAGAACUACUUUGUGAAACUGCUGGAAUAGAAACACAGUGUCCACAUUAUAGGACUAAAUAUAAGUGAAUUCUUAAUUUUUCCCUGUUUUAUAUCAUCUGCUCUGCUGAUAUAGACAAGAGUUCACUGGGUAGCACAACACACUUUGUUGAGCAUGAGAAAGAAUCUUAAGAAUUGUCAAUAAAAUUGAACCCAAUACUGGGACGCCUGGGUGCUUCAGUCA
Felis catus (domestic cat) is the source of this 1158-nucleotide RNA transcript. It is a transcript of the gene named transmembrane protein 50A, with no coding region annotated. The record is from RefSeq and is a predicted model, not a curated record. The transcript is spliced from 8 exons. Lineage: Eukaryota; Metazoa; Chordata; Mammalia; Carnivora; Felidae.